Molecule: transfer RNA, 72 nt
Filed under: Camelus bactrianus (Bactrian camel)
Lineage: Eukaryota; Metazoa; Chordata; Mammalia; Artiodactyla; Camelidae
Also listed under: 1 other name
Rfam family: tRNA
About the family: Transfer RNA (tRNA) molecules are approximately 80 nucleotides in length. Their secondary structure includes four short double-helical elements and three loops (D, anti-codon, and T loops).
Source: Rfam by way of RNAcentral
GAGGGUGUCACUCAGGGGUAGAGCACGUGCUUAGCAUGCAGGAGGUCCUGGGUUCAACCCCCAGCACCUCUA